Molecule: long non-coding RNA, 5051 nt
Filed under: Triticum aestivum (bread wheat)
Lineage: Eukaryota; Viridiplantae; Streptophyta; Magnoliopsida; Poales; Poaceae
Description: long non-coding RNA (TAES_LNC009175)
Rfam family: MIR1120/MIR1122 microRNA precursor family (bases 870-994)
Source: RNAcentral
CUUUUUUUUUGUUCUUGUGAGUGAAGGAAAUAAUCUUACUUCCACAUUAAAUGAAAAGGAAUUUUGCUGUACUUCGUUUCACAUGGUCUUUAGCAAUGUGUAUGUAUUUUCUUAGGGGAGCGAGCGUUAGAAGGAUGAGAAAGUAUCCAUAGACAUAUAGCCGAAAGCAUUAUUAUAUACUACCUCUGUUCGUAAAUAAUGGAACAGAGGGUGUGUAGAAUAUUGCCUGAUAGGGAGGGACAUUUUAGCUUCAUCUUGAGUUGUGAGAAAAUGUAUGUCGCACUGGAAUCACUCUUAUAGAAAAUAUGAGCUGAAACGUCACGAAACUCAUGGAUUUUUGUUUGUUUAUUACAUGAUGAGCUGAGAGAUCACACGUGUUGCGUUUAUCAUUUGGGUAUAUUGAUAGGUUGAGUUGUUUAUACUCAGUCCAUUAUUGUGGUAUAUUAUGCGUUUAGAGAGAUAGCUAGCCGUGCAAGUGCACGGGUUAAAAGUCAUUUUCUCAUUACUUUUGGCUCUUUCGUUUUCCAUUUUUUAUAGGUAUUACAAUUGUUGGAUUUGAAAGACAUGGACUUCAUUUUAUAUAGGUAUUACAAUUGUUGGAUUUGAAAGACAUGGGCUUCAUUUUCCUGUAGGAGUCCCACUAGUAGCACCUUUCUUGAUUUCAAAGAAACGGGCUUCAUCUUUUUAGCUUCUUAGGGCCUGUUCGACACUCAUCUAGCUCCGCAAAAUACAGGAGUAUACGGAGCGCCACUUUGGCCACUCCGUGAAAAUAGGCUGCGGGCCGCUCCCGCUCCGGCUGCUCCAGGAGCGGAGAGCUGCCGAACAGGCCCUUAUUACCUGCAGGAGUCCCACUGUCUUUAGAACCUUUCUUAGUACUCCCUCCGUCCGGAAAUACUCGUCGAAGGAAUGGAUGUAUCUAGAUAUGUUUUAGUUCUAGAUACAUCCAUUUUUAGACAUUUCUCCGACAAGUAUUUCCGGACGGAGGGAGUACUACUUAAGCUAAUCUCUUACUCCCUCCGUCCGGGAAAAGUUGUCCCCAUGGCGUUUUUGCACAAAACCCCUCCCAAAACUCCCGACACAACCCGCACUCCUCGUCCUCUCCAAACUUGUCUCCUCGUCGUAUCCUUGCUCUGGCACAGGCGCAUGGACGCCGGAGCUCCUCUGCGCCGCGCUGCUCCCCUGCUCUCCCGCCCGUCCUCCUCCGCCGCCGCAGCUGCCUCCUCCGCCGCUCCCUUCUGCCUCGCGCAGCUCCCCUGCCUCCCUUGCCUGCCUCCCGAAUCUCCCCUCUUUCACCCCAAAAAUCAAUUCUUCUUCCUCCCGCCGCGUCUCCUACUCGCGCGCGGCGUCGACACGUCCUCCUCCUCGCCCCCGCCGCCGGAGGAGGCGCAAGGCAGGCAUCAGUGGCUCGCGUUGUGCCUACGCGACAUCGGGUGAGGCUGCUGGGCAGGCAGCAGUGCCUCGCCCCCGCCGCCGGAGGAGGCAGCGGCAGUGGCGGGCCGACGGGCCGGUCGCCGCCUCGGUCGUGCCCCCGUCCGUAGAGGAUGAGGAGGGGAAUCCCGUUCGUCGGCAAGGCUUCCCUCUGUUGCAUUUGCUCCUUCAGCCGUGCGGGGCCGUCGAGGUAUAGACUUUCCUUCUCCUUCCGCUGGGUUUCAGUCAGAGAAUUCAAUUGAAGCAAAUGUCAGUUAACAAAUGUUGAGAACAAGUGUUCAGUUUUUUGCUCUCUCUAAAUUUUCAAAAUUAACAAAUGUUCACAAAUCUUCAGAUUUUGCUCUCUAAAUGUCAGUUAACAAAUUCUUAUUCUUACUAUCAAAUGUUUUUUUUUUGGAACCAUGCAUACUCUGUUCUGUUAGUAUGUUCAGUGGUUACUUUUUGCCACACCCACAUUCCAGAUAUGUCCAGCAGCGCUUGCUCGUCUCCAUCUGACAGAAAGCAAAAAACUGCCUUCAGUUUGGUAGCAUGAUUUCCCUUCAAUUUGGUAGUUUCAGUGUCUAGCUACCUUAGUGCAUUUUGAUCUUGGAGGUUUCUUUCAGUGUGUAGCUACUGCUGAUGCUGAGGCUAGAAAAUGUGUUCUGUGUUUUCUGUUUUUGUUGAAGGAAGGCUAAAUUCUCCUUGUUCCCAAACUGUCAAGCCUGAAUUUUACUCCAUCUCUCUCCAAAUUGUCAACUGAAUUUCGCUCACUGAAAAUUCGACAGUGGAGUACUGUCCAAACUGUAUUCACUGUCUAAAUUUCACUGAUGUCAAAUUUUAUUUAUGUGUCAAGUCUGACAUCAACUUGUAAGAAGAAUAAGGGUGAGUUCAAGAUCAGGUGAUUGAGUGAGUGAUGUGGUUGCUGAAGUUCAGACAUGUUCAAUGAGAACAACUACUGUGGAGAUUAAAUUCAAUGAGAAUAAAUUCAAAUAAAUCCAAAUAAACCCAUCAUGUCAGGAUUCUUGAUCAAAGACCCACUUAGGAUUAGUUUCUCAUUGUUAAACACAAGUUUAAAAUGAAUAUGCUUCUUUUGUUGUGAUAAUCCAAAAUGCUUCUUUUGAGUACAAUAGUUGUAAAAUUUAGUCUAUCUUGAGCUUGAGCUUGGGAGCUUCUUUAGCAAGAUCACUGAAUACAGUGAUUUGUCGCAUAGGAGUAGCUGUAAAUGCUUAAGUGGAGUACUCAAAUUUUGAAAAAUGAGUUGCUUACAGAUUGUUUGCUAUAGUUGCUUAACUCAAAUAAAUUAAGUGCUUCUAGUUUACUAUAGAUUGAUGAGGACCUUUAGAUUCAACCCAAGAAUUCAGCUACAAGAUCAUUUGGGACUACUGAAAAUCCAGUUGCUGUCAACUGAAUUUGACAAGUUAACUUAACAAUUAACUUUAUAGUAUCUCUCACAAGUUAACUUAACAAUUUGAUCUACUGCAAAUAAUCUACUGCAAAUAGUACUCCUAUUCAGAAAUGUUCAGAGGAGGAUGAUAAGAGCUGCUUCAUUUUGUGAUGUACAGUAGGUGUCAAGUUCUAUUUCAGCUCAAGUUCCAUUGCUUUGUUUGGAAACUGCUUGGUAAAUUAACUAGGAAUACAUGAACAUGUCACUUCCAUCUAUCCCCAAACUGUCAAGACUGAAAAUAAACCAUUAUUUCCUCAUGCAUAUAAUUUGAAAAUAAACCAUUGUUUACUGAAUCAUUUAAAGGACUAUCUUGGAUAUGCACAACAGUACAUACUCCAAGAUUCUUUUGUUGUGCACUUACUGAAAAUUCAGUUAGUGCAGUUAUGACAUAAUUGAUCUUGACAAUCCUAGUUGAUCUAGUUAUGCAAAUGUUCAGAAAUGUCCAGUUUGUACAUUUUGAAAAAAGGCUGCCAUGGCCACAAAGGAUGCCAUGCAAGAUUGUUCACUUAAACUUCACUGUACAGCAACUUAAAUUUUGUGCAUCUACUGUUUACUCCACUGUACAAACUUGAAUUUGUGUGACAUGAUCUUCUGUUGGUUGCUACUCCACUGGAUAUUGACUGAAUAGACUAAGCUGUAGGAUAGUGGUGCUGGUCCAUCUAGAGCACUACUCCCAUUUUUGCUCUGCUCCCAUUUUUGCUCACAAUUAUUCAGGUAAGGACUACUCCUAGUAACAAAACAGAUCAUUUACUGAAAAUAGCUCUACAUUUCUUCUUUCUAAUGGUUGUUCCUUUAGCAAUAGCUCUACAUUUACUGAAAAUAAACUUGAUGUACUGAGAAGAAACUUUGCCAUUGUUUACUGAAAAUAAACUUUAUCUAUUGAAAAUAAACAAUCACUGAUCUGCAGCAGUUCUCAUCACCAUGAUAAGACAAGCCAGAUGCUCUAUUUUUAAUUAACAGUAAUCCAUGAUCAGCAGCAGUUUCUUUCACUAAUUUUCAGUUAACAGCAAUCCAUGUUUAUUUUCACAAUGAUCAGCAGCAGUUUUUGUAUUAAAAUGAAUGUACUCCAUGAAUUUUAAGUUAACAACUGAAUUUACUCCAUGAUUGGCAUUGUCAUGAUUCAGUUAACACUAAAUCAACUUCACUAAUUUUCAGGUACAGUACUCUGACGGAGUACCUUCUUCAGAGUGCAGAGGAGCAAAAUUGUUCUGAUCAGCAGCAGCACAGCACAGUCACUUGGAUCAGCGGAAGAGGAGCAUCAGCAGCACGGGCAGAGGAGCAGCAGCAGCACGGGCAGAGCUCCACCAGCGGCAGGGGAGAAGCAGCCGCACGAGCGCACGAGCAGAGGAGAAGGAGCAGCACGGCCGGGGUUGGCAGCGGCGGCUGGGGUUGCCGCGAGUGCGAGGAACUAGUCAGGGAUGCGAGCAGGGAGACGAGAGGAGGCGCCCGUCGAAGUGGUCGCCUUGGAGGAGCAGCCGCAGGUGGGCAGCGGGGCAGCGACGCUGGUGGGCGGCGGCGCAGGGGCGCAGGUGGGUGGCGGCACAGGUGGGCGCCCGCUGUUUGUACGGCGGCUGCCGACGGCCGCUUGGUCCAGCCGUGGUCGAAGGAGGAAGAAGCAGAGGUGAGGGGGGAUUAGCACGAGAUUUAAAACCAGAAGGUUUUUUUUUUGCAAAAUUAGAAAUGAACUGAGCUGGGGACAACUUUUCCCGGACGGAGGGAGUACUAUUUUUAGUGCAUCAAGCUUAGGAGUAGAUUUAUUUGCUAAUAUGAUGGCACAUUUCAGCACCAGCCACAGCUACUACAACAAAACUACCAAACAGCUGCACCUCAGCUCCAGCCUUCCAGCCACAGCUAACAACUACAGCUGCUCCUUUCAGCCGGAGCCGUUGCAACUUAGAAGUUGCAGCCCAAAUAAACACACCCUAAAUUGGCCAAUGUGUUACCUUGGCUUCCACAUAGUAUAGUAUUAUGAUUACUAUCCAAGAAAGGGGUGAAUAACAAAAUGAAAGAAACAAAAAAUGCCCACAAUCUUGGCUUGAACUUGCAAACGACGAAAUGAUAAAAGAUAACAGGAGCAAACUUGACAGAGACGUCAUGGUGUCACGAAUCCAGACGGUCUCAUUCACAAGCAGCCUUGCAAACCUAUCAUCCUUCAAGGUUCUUGACACAAACAAGCUUGACGCUGCCAACCUAACAAACC